This is a long non-coding RNA of Hirundo rustica (Barn swallow), 881 nucleotides long. RefSeq lists it as uncharacterized. The transcript is spliced from 3 exons. The record is from RefSeq and is a predicted model, not a curated record. NCBI's taxonomy places the organism in Eukaryota, Metazoa, Chordata, Aves, Passeriformes, Hirundinidae.
AUUGCUUGGUUUAUUUUUAAGUAAACUCUUCUUCAUGUGGUCAAGCUGGUGACUUGAGAAAAAGCAGGAGGAAACUGUGUGCAGCACCCAGUGGCCAAGGACAGCCUAGGGUUUGCUCUAGGUCUGCAGUGCUGGGGAGAGCUCUCCUAUUUCUUUGGUGCUUUUCCCUAGUUUUAUGACUGCAAUUCAGACAUCUCCUACAAACAGUAUCACUAAAAGAGCCCUAAGAAUUUUAUUUUGAACAAAAAUUAAGAUUCUGACAUUUGGAGUUGGGCCAUUGAAGAAACCCCCUACAACUUACUCCUAGGAAAAUCAAGGAUUGACAGCUUGUCCUCUUCAAUGAUACACUGAUGUGCCCCCAGGCAGUCAGGAGGACAGUGGAAUUCUUCAGCACAAACAGCCUGGUCAUCUCAAAACUGCUCAGGGACUUGGACAGAUGUCACAGCAGAAGGAAAUGCCCUUCCUGAGAGGAAUCAACGAUGGUGUCACUUCUUAACCUAAUGGGCUUCAACAACAAACCAUUGCCAAAUCUUCAGCACCUCUUAACAUGUUGCAUACCAGUAGAGAGGCAGUUGAAAAAAAAAAUCUGUCAGAAUUACAUUAGCAGGAGCUGAGUUCUUUUGGAUACCUGGCCUAACUGGUGUGAAAUAAACAGCCGAAAAAUCCAGCCCUGAGCACCUUAAAACCUUUGUUUUUUGACAUGAGGCAAUUCCCAGAGAUGGUCCUGAAAAUAACUUUCAUUGCCUUCAGAAGGAUUGUGAUAAUGCCAUUAGCACCCCAGCUGCUUUUCUUCCUGUCAGUGAACACAUAUAUGUGGGAAUUGCCCGCUGAAUUUUUUGAACAUCAAACUUGCAUCAAUUAAAUAUCACAGUGUACUGGGA